GGUAAAAUGGCUGAUAAAAGCGUUAGACUGUAAAUCUAAAAAUAGAGGUAUAGCCCUCUUUUUACCA
This 67-nucleotide transfer RNA is filed under the name Lycaon pictus (African hunting dog). RNAcentral describes it as "tRNA-Tyr". It matches the Rfam family "tRNA". From Rfam's summary of the family: Transfer RNA (tRNA) molecules are approximately 80 nucleotides in length. Their secondary structure includes four short double-helical elements and three loops (D, anti-codon, and T loops). Lineage: Eukaryota; Metazoa; Chordata; Mammalia; Carnivora; Canidae. The record is from RNAcentral.